ACCAAAAAACCGAGUUUGAUCCUGGCUCAGAAUGAACGCUAGCGAUAUGCUUAACACAUGCAAGUCGAACGUUGUUUUCGGUCUAUAGAACAGUUGAAGACAAAGUGGCGAACGGGUGCGUAACGCGUGGGAAUCUGCCAAACAGUUUGGGCCGAAUCCCAAAGAAACGAAAGCAAAAAAGCUUCGAUAAAGCUAAAAAGCGCUGUUUGAUGAGCCUGCGUAGUAUUAGGUAGCUGGUUGGGUAAAGGCUGACCAAGCCGCAGAUGCUUAGCUGAUCUUUUCGGACGAUCAGCCACACUGGGACUGAGACACGGCCCAGACUCCGUAGGGAGGCAGCAGUGGGGAAUAUCGGACAAUGGGCGAAAGCCCGAUCCAGCAAUAUCGCGUGAGUGAGUGAAAAACGUCGCGUUAGCGAGGAAGGGCAAUGCCGCUUGUAAAGCUCUUUCGUCGAGUGCGCGAUUAUGACAAGACUCGAAGAAGAAGCCCCGGCUAACUCCGUGCCAGCAGCCGCGGUAAGACGGGGGGGGCAAGUGUUAUUCGGAAUGACUGGGCGUAAAGGGCACGUAGGCAGUGAAUCAGGUUGAAAGUCAAAGACGCCAGCUCAACUGGCGGAAUGCUUUCAAAACCAAUUCACUCGAGUGAGAUAGAGGGGAGUGGAAUUUCGUGUGUAGGGACAAAAUCCGGAGAUAUACGAAGGAACGCCGAAGUAGCGAAGGCAGCUUUCUGGGUCUCUACUGACGCUAGGGUGCGAAAGCUUGGGGAGCAAACAGGAUUAGAUACCCUGGUAGUCCAUGCCGUAAACGAUGAGUGUUCGUCCUUGGUCCGCGGAUCGGGGGCUCAGCUAACGCGUUAAACACUCCGCCUGGGGAGUACGGUCGCAAGACUGAAACUCAAAGGAAUUGACGGGGGCCUGCACAAGCGGUGGAGCAUGUGGUUUAAUUCGAUACAACGCGCAAAACCUUACCAGCCCUUGACAUAUGAACACUUGACGUAUGAACACUUGACAUAUGAACAAGUGUGCUUGUCCUUAACGGGAUGAAACGAAAAUUCAUACAGGUGCUGCAUGGCUGUCGUCAGCUCGUGUCGUGAGACGUUUUUGGUUAACUCCUAUAACGAGCGAAACCCUCGUCUUGUGUUGCUAAGACAUGCUGCUCCCAGAGGAUCAAUGUCAUCAUUCACCCCUGCAGGAACAUAGAACAUGGGCGCCGCGCGGUUCCGACGAGCGAGCCGCCCGGUAAUGGGUGGUAAGUGAGCCGGUACCUGCCCACGAAUCUGUGUUCAGUCAGCGGAAUUGAUGACACUCCCUCUGUGCCGAUGUUGCACUCACAAGAGACUGCCCGUAGUUCUACUAUGGAGGAAGGUGGGGAUGACGUCAAGUCCGCAUGGCCCUUAUGGGCUGGGCUACACACGUGCUACAAUGGCAAUUACAAUAGGAAGCAGGGCCGUAAGGCGGAGCGAAUCCAGAAAGAUUGCCUCAGUUCGGAUUGUUCUCUGCAACUCGAGAACAUGAAGUUGGAAUCGCUAGUAAUCGCGGAUCAGCAUGCCGCGGUGAAUACGUACCCGGGCCCCGUACACACCGCCCGUCACACCCUGGGAAUUGGUUUCGCCCAAAGCAUCGACCAGAGAUCACCCAUUACGGCAAGUGUUCCAUGCCUAGUUGAGUGUGGCCCAUUUUGGUAUUGGUGGUCUCCUUGGCGCAUAUCACGGUUGGGUCAGUGACUGGGGUGAAGUCGUAACAUGGUAGUCGUAGGGGAACCCGUGGCUGGAGGGAAUC
This 1774-nucleotide ribosomal RNA is filed under the name Dryopteris crassirhizoma. Its description in RNAcentral is "bacterial SSU rRNA". It matches the Rfam family "Bacterial small subunit ribosomal RNA". The record is from RNAcentral. Lineage: Eukaryota; Viridiplantae; Streptophyta; Polypodiopsida; Polypodiales; Dryopteridaceae.